GAGGGUACCGCUCAGUGGUAGAGCCCAUGCUUAGCACGCACGAGGUCCUGGGUUCAACUCCCCGUACCUCCA
This 72-nucleotide transfer RNA is filed under the name Camelus bactrianus (Bactrian camel). It matches the Rfam family "tRNA". Rfam says of the family: Transfer RNA (tRNA) molecules are approximately 80 nucleotides in length. Their secondary structure includes four short double-helical elements and three loops (D, anti-codon, and T loops). Further hydrogen bonds mediate the characteristic L-shaped molecular structure. tRNAs have two regions of fundamental functional importance: the anti-codon, which is responsible for specific mRNA codon recognition, and the 3' end, to which the tRNAs corresponding amino acid is attached (by aminoacyl-tRNA synthetases). tRNAs cope with the degeneracy of the genetic code in two manners: having more than one tRNA (with a specific anti-codon) for a particular amino acid; and 'wobble' base-pairing, i.e. permitting non-standard base-pairing at the 3rd anti-codon position. Lineage: Eukaryota; Metazoa; Chordata; Mammalia; Artiodactyla; Camelidae. The record is from Rfam by way of RNAcentral. RNAcentral also lists the same sequence under 2 other names.